This 492-nucleotide ribosomal RNA is filed under the name uncultured bacterium. RNAcentral's name for it is "partial 16S ribosomal RNA". It matches the Rfam family "Bacterial small subunit ribosomal RNA", at positions 28 to 507 of the family's 1533-position model. The record is from RNAcentral.
GGUGAACGCUGGCGGCGUGCCUAAUACAUGCAAGUCGAGCGAACGGACGAUAAGCGUUCUUUUCUGAGGGUAGCGGCUGACGGGCGGGUGAGACGUGGAUAGCCUACCUAUAAGACGGGGAUGACUUCGGGAAGCCGCAGCUAAUACUGGAUAAUACGUUCUACCGCAUGGUUCAGAAGUGAUAGGCGGUCUUGCUGUCACUUUGAGAUGAUGUCGGAUUAGCUAGUUGGCGUGGUAAGGGACCACCAAGGCAACGAUGCGUAGCCGAUCUGAGAGGAUGAUCGGCCACACUGGAACUGAGACACGGUCCAGACUCCUACGGGAGGCAGCAGUAGGGAAUAUUGCGCAAUGGGCGCAAGCCUGACGCAGCCACGCCGCGUGAGUGAUGAAGGCCUUCGGAUCGUAAAGCUCUGUUAUUAGGGAAGAAAAGCUGUGUAAGAAACUGCGCCCAUUUUGACGGUACCCAAAGAGAAAGCCCCGGCUAACUACGUG